This 253-nucleotide ribosomal RNA is filed under the name uncultured bacterium. Its description in RNAcentral is "partial 16S ribosomal RNA". It matches the Rfam family "Bacterial small subunit ribosomal RNA", at positions 524 to 776 of the family's 1533-position model. The record is from RNAcentral.
UACGAGAGGCCCAAACGUUAUCCGGAUUUACUGGGCUUAAAGAGUUCGUAGGCGGCGCGGAAAGUAGGGUGUGAAAGCCCUCGGCUCAACCGAGGAAUUGCGCUCUAAACUGUCGCGCUCGAGGAACCUAGAGGUGAGCAGAACUGAUGGUGGAGCGGUGAAAUGCGUUGAUAUCAUCAGGAAUACCGGAGGCGAAGGCGGCUCACUGGGGGUUAUCUGACGCUGAGGAACGUAAGCCAGGGGAGCAAACGGG